Molecule: transfer RNA, 73 nt
Filed under: Bacteroidales bacterium
Lineage: Bacteria; Pseudomonadati; Bacteroidota; Bacteroidia; Bacteroidales
Description: tRNA-Ala
Rfam family: tRNA
About the family: Transfer RNA (tRNA) molecules are approximately 80 nucleotides in length. Their secondary structure includes four short double-helical elements and three loops (D, anti-codon, and T loops). Further hydrogen bonds mediate the characteristic L-shaped molecular structure. tRNAs have two regions of fundamental functional importance: the anti-codon, which is responsible for specific mRNA codon recognition, and the 3' end, to which the tRNAs corresponding amino acid is attached (by aminoacyl-tRNA synthetases). tRNAs cope with the degeneracy of the genetic code in two manners: having more than one tRNA (with a specific anti-codon) for a particular amino acid; and 'wobble' base-pairing, i.e. permitting non-standard base-pairing at the 3rd anti-codon position.
Source: RNAcentral
GGGGCAUUAGCUCAGUUGGUAGAGCGUUUGACUGGCAGUCAAGAGGUCACGAGUUCGAAUCUCGUAUGCUCCA